AAGAGUCAGUAGGGCGAUCAAAGGAUGAUACAUUUGUAUUGUUUUUUCAACUCUUCCACUUCCUGUUCAUGCCGUUUCCUCAAGGUCUCUAUUUCUUCUUUUAAAAGCCUUGAUUGGUUUUGUUUGUCUUCCAUUUCUUCUUCAUGUGUUCUCUUCAACUCCUUUACUUCUUCUUUCAGUGUUUCUUCUUUGUAACUUGAGAGGUCUUUUAACAGAUUGUACUUUUCACCAUGGCUCUCUGCUGACUCUUGUAUUUGUCUCUCAUGUCUUUGCUUCAUGUCCUGUAUUUCCUCCAUGUGCUUCUCGACCAACGCUGUGAAGUCCUUGGUGUAUUUCUGUCUGAACUCAUUGAACUCUUCAGCCUGUUUUCUGGCCUCCUCUUCAUAUUUCUUCUUCAUGUCCUCA
Long non-coding RNA from Etheostoma spectabile (orangethroat darter), 405 nucleotides. RefSeq lists it as uncharacterized. The record is from RefSeq and is a predicted model, not a curated record. Lineage: Eukaryota; Metazoa; Chordata; Actinopteri; Perciformes; Percidae. The transcript is spliced from 2 exons.